GAUGAAGAACGUAGCGAAAUGCGAUAAGUAAUGUGAAUUGCAGAAUUCAGUGAAUCAUCGAAUCUUUGAACGCACCUUGCGCCCUUUGGCUAUUCCGAAGGGCAUGCCUGUUUGAGUAUCGUGAACACCUCAACUCUCAUGGUUUGCCAUGAUGAGCUUGGACUUUGGGGGUUUUGCUGGCCUUUGGUCGGCUCCUCUCAAAUAAAUCAGCUUGCCAGUGUUUGGUGGCAUCACAGGUGUGAUAACUAUCUACGCUUGUGGUUUUCCAUCAGGUAACCUUCAGUGAUGGAGGUUCGCUGGAGCUCAUAAAUGUCCCUCCUCAGCGAGGACAGCUUUUUGAACGUUUGAUCUCAAAUCAGGUAGGACUACCCGCUGAACUUAAGCAUAUCAAUAAGCGGAGGA
This 402-nucleotide unclassified non-coding RNA is filed under the name soil metagenome. RNAcentral describes it as "partial contains 5.8S ribosomal RNA, internal transcribed spacer 2, and large subunit ribosomal RNA". The stretch from base 1 to 121 matches the Rfam family "5.8S ribosomal RNA", at positions 35 to 154 of the family's 154-position model. The record is from RNAcentral.